This 71-nucleotide transfer RNA is filed under the name Heterocephalus glaber (naked mole-rat). It matches the Rfam family "tRNA". Rfam says of the family: Transfer RNA (tRNA) molecules are approximately 80 nucleotides in length. Their secondary structure includes four short double-helical elements and three loops (D, anti-codon, and T loops). Further hydrogen bonds mediate the characteristic L-shaped molecular structure. tRNAs have two regions of fundamental functional importance: the anti-codon, which is responsible for specific mRNA codon recognition, and the 3' end, to which the tRNAs corresponding amino acid is attached (by aminoacyl-tRNA synthetases). tRNAs cope with the degeneracy of the genetic code in two manners: having more than one tRNA (with a specific anti-codon) for a particular amino acid; and 'wobble' base-pairing, i.e. permitting non-standard base-pairing at the 3rd anti-codon position. Lineage: Eukaryota; Metazoa; Chordata; Mammalia; Rodentia; Bathyergidae. The record is from Rfam by way of RNAcentral.
AGAUCAAAGGGAAUGUGUAAUUCAUACAAUUACUAAUUUUCAGAAACAGGGUUCAAAUCCUGUUUGAUCUA